AACCCCCAAGUCUAAUCAGCAAUCAAAGAUAUUCAAAUAUCACUAAAAUGAUAAAAGAGUAGAAAUUCUAAUGCUAAUCAAAGUGUUUAUUCAUCAUAACAUAAUACUAUAGCAGAAAAACAAAAUAGGAACUAACCACAAAUACCAAAACAAAAAGUCAAGACUCAAGAGCAGAAAAAGAGAACCACAAGUAGAGAUUGCAAAACUCGCGGAAUGGAGAUUGCAAAACUCGUGGGAUGGGUAAUAGAUCAUUGGAUUGUAACGAGUUAGCAGUUCAAGUGCACUAUUUUUUGUAAAAACCGGUGGUAACCCAUUCUUAGUUUACCCAAGUACUCUCAUAUCGCCCAGUAGACCUGUCCACUGAUUUAAACCUUGACCAAAAAAACUCAUAGUACAAAAUUUUGAC
Molecule: long non-coding RNA, 406 nt
Filed under: Helianthus annuus (common sunflower)
Lineage: Eukaryota; Viridiplantae; Streptophyta; Magnoliopsida; Asterales; Asteraceae
Description: sRNA HanXRQr2_Chr01g0015281
Source: RNAcentral